GAUAAACGCUGGCGGCGUGCCUAACACAUGCAAGUCGAACGAAGUUUUUCCUUCGGGAGACACUUAGUGGCGGACGGGUGCGUAACGCGUGGGUAACCUGCCCUGUACAGGGGGACAACAGCUGGAAACGGCUGCUAAUACCGCAUAAGCCCUUAGCACUGCAUGGUGCAUAGGGAAAAGGAGCAAUCCGGUACAGGAUGGACCCGCGUCUGAUUAGCCAGUUGGCAGGGUAACGGCCUACCAAAGCGACGAUCAGUAGCCGAUCUGAGAGGAUGUACGGCCACAUUGGGACUGAGACACGGCCCAGACUCCUACGGGAGGCAGCAGUGGGGAAUAGUGCACAAUGGAGGAAACUCUGAUGCAGCGACGCCGCGUGAGUGAAGAAGUAUUUCGGUAUGUAAAGCUCUAUCAGCAGGGAAGAAAAUGACGGUACCUGACGAAGAAGCACCGGCUAAAUACGUG
RNAcentral lists this ribosomal RNA (462 nucleotides) under uncultured bacterium. Its description in RNAcentral is "partial 16S ribosomal RNA". It matches the Rfam family "Bacterial small subunit ribosomal RNA", at positions 28 to 507 of the family's 1533-position model. The record is from RNAcentral.